Setaria italica (foxtail millet) is the source of this 1255-nucleotide long non-coding RNA. RefSeq lists it as uncharacterized. The record is from RefSeq and is a predicted model, not a curated record. NCBI's taxonomy places the organism in Eukaryota, Viridiplantae, Streptophyta, Magnoliopsida, Poales, Poaceae. The transcript is spliced from 4 exons.
ACAACAUUAUCCUCGGCACAUUUUCUUCCUCGUUCACCAUCUCUUCCCCGCAGGCAUCACACGCUCUGAUGUCCGCCGCCUGCCCGCCUCCUAUUCUAUCAUCUAGCUCCGAUGGCACUAGGGUUUCAUGGGCUCGCGAGUCGCGACUGCCGCUCACCACGGAGGAGGCGGUCAGCCUUGUGUCCACUCCUCGCCAUGGAGGAGGAGGAGGAGGCUCGGACUCGCGCCCGAUGUGUGCCGCUGUUGUGGUGGCGGAGCGGCGGCGGCAGCGUUGAGAUCCGGCAGUGGGAGAGGAGUGAUUCAGUGGUUGGAACGCGAUGGCGCUGGUGAGGGCCGACCUCAGACGACUGCGGUGGGAGCGGGUGACGCAAGGCACGGCAGCGUCGGCGAGGGCCGGCCUCCGGCGAUAUGCGGCGGGAAUAAGGUGACAUGAGGCGCGGUGGCGUGAAACACAGCUCUGACGAUCGGAUCCGAGCAAAUGGCGUCCGAUCCGCUCGUCGGAGCGACGGAUCUGAGCAGGCGCCACCCAAUCCACGAGUUGAGGCUGCUCGAGGGCCUUGCCAGGCUCCCCUGCAUUUAUUCCCUCAUCGUCAACGAGUUCCCCACAUCGUUGAAACCAAGUCACAAUGCCAACCACCAGAUCAUGCAGAGCCUGAGAGUUCAGAGUACCAUGUGUUGGUUUCACUGGUCAUAGCUUGAUGCAUCUUAGGAAAUGGAAGCAUGAAGUUAAUGGAUUGUGGCAAGGAGAUUACGUGGGCAGAAGUAAUGGGAAAACUUGAAGUGCAUCGAUAGUGCAGAUAGGAAGACGUUGCGCGAGGGUUUAAAGACCAUUCCAACUGGCUUUUUGUUGGCAGAUAGUAUUUAAAGUGUUCGCCUCAAGCAAUUUCGAAAAGUUAAGCUUUCUAAAUCUCAGCUGAUGACAAAGUGAGAAGAUGCAUGGCAACAAGGAUUGAAGCAGCUACCCUCUUGUGCUUAUCUACCAAUCUGUCUUGUGGGUACAGCACGCCCUCAGAAAUCUAGGCCUGAUUGGUCCCAGAUUUUGUUGCAAAUGUCUGCCACUAAAAAUUAUUUGAAUCUAGAAUGUUACAGUCUCAGUUUCCCUGCAGGCCCCUUCCUCAUUACCUAUACACUCCCAGGAGUAAUGUAACAGUUUUGAGCGCAUAUCAGUAGAUUAUCUAUGUAAUUUUGUUGCUUCCUUUCUGGUGUUCGGCUAGCGGCAGUGCCCACUGCCCAAGAGCUGGCAGUUUUUGCCUUU